GCAUUAAUGGGUAGUGGUAACUUGGGUCGUUGCCACAAACAUUGUAAUUCUGGCUUUUCGACCCGCCGGGGGUUCGAUUCCCUUUUGAUGCA
Molecule: non-coding RNA, 92 nt
Organism: Marasmius tenuissimus
Lineage: Eukaryota; Fungi; Basidiomycota; Agaricomycetes; Agaricales; Marasmiaceae
Source: the annotation of a GenBank genome assembly